UAUGCUGCAGGUGCCGCCCUAAAAAGACCCCCCCCCCACGGAAAAAGGUGCAAAACACAGACUCACAGAUAUAGAACAAAGUAGUGGGAACCAGUGGGAGAGGGAAAAGAGCAUAAUAGAAGGAGGCAAAAAGGAGCUACAACUAUGAGGUAUAAAAUAAAUAAGCUACAAGAAGUAUAACAGCGGGAAUAUACUCGGUAUUUUAUGCUAACUAUAAAUGGAAUAAAACCUUUAAAAAUUGUGACUAUAUUGAAUACCCAUAACUUGUAUAAAACUGUACUUCAAUGAUACAUCAAUCAAAAAAUUUU
Sus scrofa (pig) is the source of this 308-nucleotide non-coding RNA. NCBI's taxonomy places the organism in Eukaryota, Metazoa, Chordata, Mammalia, Artiodactyla, Suidae. The record is from RefSeq and is a predicted model, not a curated record.